CAAGUCGAACGGAGUGAAGGAGCUUGCUCUUUCAUUUAGUGGCGCACGGGUGAGUAACGCGUAGAUAAUCUGCCUUAGACUCUGGGAUAACAUCUCGAAAGGGGUGCUAAUACCUGAUAAGCCCACGAUGGCGAAAGUCGUUGCGGGAAAAGGGGGCCUCUGAAUAUGCUCUUGAUCUAAGAUGAGUCUGCGUACCAUUAGCUAGUUGGUAGGGUAAGAGCCUACCAAGGCGACGAUGGUUAGCUGGUCUGAGAGGAUGAUCAGCCACACUGGAACUGAGACACGGUCCAGACUCCUACGGGAGGCAGCAGUGGGGAAUUUUGCGCAAUGGGGGAAACCCUGACGCAGCAACGCCGCGUGAGUGAUGAAGGCUUUCGGGUCGUAAAGCUCUGUCUAGAGGGAAGAAAUGAUAUUUGGUUAAUACCCGGAUUUCUUGACGGUACCUCUGAAGGAAGCACCGGCUAACUCCGUGCCAGCAGCCGCGGUAAUACGGAGGGUGCAAGCGUUGUUCGGAUUUAUUGGGCGUAAAGCGCGUGUAGGCGGUUUGUUAAGUCUGAUGUGAAAGCCCUGGGCUCAACCUGGGAAGUGCAUUGGAAACUGGCAGACUUGAAUACGGGAGAGGGUAGUGGAAUUCCUAGUGUAGGAGUGAAAUCCGUAGAU
This 660-nucleotide ribosomal RNA is filed under the name uncultured Geobacter sp. RNAcentral describes it as "bacterial SSU rRNA". It matches the Rfam family "Bacterial small subunit ribosomal RNA", at positions 58 to 695 of the family's 1533-position model. Lineage: Bacteria; Pseudomonadati; Thermodesulfobacteriota; Desulfuromonadia; Geobacterales; Geobacteraceae. The record is from RNAcentral.